GUGACAAGAAAUAACAAUACAGGACUUUUUGGUUUUGUAAUUGGAAUGAGUUAAGUAUAAACCCCUUUACAAGUAUCAAUUGGAGGGCAAGUCUGGUGCCAGCAGCCGCGGUAAUUCCAGCUCCAAUAGCGUAUAUUAAAGUUGUUGCAGUUAAAAAGCUCGUAGUUGGAUUUCUGUUAAUAAUUUAUAUAAAAUAUUUUGAAUAUUUAUAUAACAUUAACAUAAUUCAUAUUACUAUAUUUUUUAGUAUAUGAAAUUUUACUUUGAGAAAAUUAGAGUGCUUAAAGCAGGCAUAUGCCUUGAAUACUCCAGCAUGGAAUAAUAUUAAAGAUUUUUAUCUUUCUUAUUGGUUCUAAGAUAAGAAUAAUGAUUAAUAGGGACAGUUGGGGGCAUUUGUAUUUAACAGUCAGAGGUGAAAUUCUUAGAUUUGUUAAAGACAAACUAAUGCGAAA
RNAcentral lists this ribosomal RNA (452 nucleotides) under Cryptosporidium parvum. Its description in RNAcentral is "SSU rRNA". It matches the Rfam family "Eukaryotic small subunit ribosomal RNA", at positions 467 to 950 of the family's 1831-position model. The record is from RNAcentral. Lineage: Eukaryota; Apicomplexa; Conoidasida; Eucoccidiorida; Cryptosporidiidae.